AUGGGGCCCUAUGGGGUCUAUGGGUCUCUAUGGGUCCCUAUGGGGUCCCUAUGGGUCUCUAUGGGGUCUAUAGGGCUCUAUGGGGGCCGGUAUGGGGUUAUAUGGGGUAAUAUGGGAUCUAUGGGGCAUCUAUGGGGUCCUAUGGGGUCUUAUGGGGCUCUAUGGGGUCUAUGGGUCCCUAUGGGGCUCUGUGUGGUCUCUAUGGGUCUCUAUGGGUCUCUAUGGGUCUCUAUGGGUCCCUAUGGGUCCCUAUGGGUCUCUAUGGGGCUCUAUGGGGUCCUAUGGGUCUCUAUGGGGUCUCUAUGGGGUUUCUAUGGGGUCUAUGGGGUCUCUAUGGGGCCCUAUGGGGUCUCUAUGGGGUUCUAUGGGGUCUCUAUGGGUUCCUAUGGGUCCCUAUGGACUGUUAUGGGGUGGCUAUGGGGUAUCUAUGUGUCUCUAUGGGGUCCUAUGGGGUCUAUAGGGCCCAAUGUGGGGUCCUAUGGGUCCCUAUGGGUCCCUAUGGGGUCUAUGGGUCCCUAUGGGUCCCUAUGGGGUCCCUAUGGGUUCUAUGGGGUCUCUAUGGGUCUCUAUGGGUCUCUAUGGGGUUUUAUGGGGCUCUGUGGGUCUCUAUGGGGCUCUAUGGGGUCUGUGGGGUCUCUAUGUGUCCCUGUGGGGCUCUAUGUGGGAUCUAUGGGGCUCUAUGGGGUCUGUGGGGCCCUAUGGGGUCUCUAUGGGGUCAUUUGGGUCUCUAUGGGGUCUCUAUGGGUCCCUAUGGGGCUCUAUGUGGGGUCUAUGGGGUCUCUAUGGGUUUCUAUGGGGUCCAUAUGGGGCUCAAUGUGGUUUAUGGGGUCCUAUGGUGUCUCUAUGGGGUCAAUUGAGUCUCUAUGGGUCUCUAUGGGGUCUCUAUGGGUCUCUGUGGGGUCCUAUGUGGUCUUAUGGGGCUCAAUGGAGUCUAUGGGGUCCUAUGGGUCUCUAUGGGGUCCUAUAAGGUUCUAUGGGGUCUAUGGGUCUCUAUGGGUCUCUGUGGGGUCCUAUGGGGUCUUAUGGGGCUCAAUGGGGUCCUAUGGGUCUCUAUGGGGUUCUAUGGGGCUCUAUAUGGUCCUAUGGGUCUCUAUGGUGCCCUAUGGGUCUCUAUGGGGUUUCUAUGGGGCUGACCCCCAUCUAUGGGGUUUCUAUUCCCUUACAGAGCUCAGAACACAGGGAAGGGUCCCCCCCCCCCAGCACCGAUGUUCGAGGGGGUUUAUAACAACUCCCGGAUGCUGCACUUCCUCACUGCUGUGGUGGGUUCUCGCUGUGCCGUCCGUGUUCGCAGCGGUUCCACCUUCGAGGGAAUCUUCAGGACGCUCAGCUCCAAGUUCGAGCUGGCCUUGGAGGCCGUCCAUUGACCCUAUUGACCCCCAUUAUGACCCUAUUGGCCCCAUUAUGACCCUAUUGACCCUAUUGGCCCUAUUGACCCCCAUUAUGACCCUAUUGGCCCCAUUCUGACCCUAUUGACCCUAUUGACCCCCAUUGAUCCCCAUUUACCCCCAUUAUGACCCUAUUGGCCCCAUUAUGACCCUAUUGACCCUAUUGACCCUAUAGGCCCCAUUCUGACCCUAUUAACCCUAUUGACCCCCAUUCUGACCCUAUUGGCCCCAUUAUGACCCUAUUAACCCCAUUGACCCCCAUUAUGACCCUAUUGGCCCCAUUAUGACCCUAUUGGCCCCAUUCUGACCCUAUUGGCCCCAUUAUGACCCUAUUGUCCCCAUUCUGACCCUAUUGGCCCCAUUAUGACCCUAUUGACCCCAUUCUGACCCUAUUGACCCCAUUCUGACCCUAUUGGCCCCAUU
Molecule: long non-coding RNA, 1808 nt
Organism: Coturnix japonica (Japanese quail)
Lineage: Eukaryota; Metazoa; Chordata; Aves; Galliformes; Phasianidae
Source: Ensembl